This is a long non-coding RNA of Felis catus (domestic cat), 1410 nucleotides long. RefSeq lists it as uncharacterized. The record is from RefSeq and is a predicted model, not a curated record. Lineage: Eukaryota; Metazoa; Chordata; Mammalia; Carnivora; Felidae. The transcript has 3 exons.
CCCAUGCCUGUUUCUGGAGCUUUCCACCGAGGAAGGAAGCCAGCACACCUGGGCUUAAUCGCCGGGAGAGGAGACUCAUGGCCCCCGCAGGGCUCCCGUGCAGGACCGAAAACGGCUCCGUCCUUGGCCCUGACCCCAGACAGCAGGAGGUGGACGGGCCCAGAGUAACGAAGCCGUUAGGGUCUCCAUCCUGCUCACUGGACAUGUGAUGCCUCCUUCCCUGCUCUGAAGGCCUGUCCUCAGGGGACACGCUUCCUCCCAUCUGGAUGGCGUCCCUGCCAAGCAAUGGAAGAGAGACCCGGUUUGGGAGAUGUGACCCCAAUCCUGAUGUGCCCCCGUCCCGGAAGACGGGCACGUGGGCCCUGGCCUGCCUCAGCAGCCCUGCUGAGGACCGAGCACAGACCGGGCGGGCGUCCUCUGGAGGCACCUGCCAGUUGGAAGGCACGUCACCUCCGUAAGCCCGUCGCCUGGUCCCAUCGUGAGACAACCAUCACACAAAUCCCAGCUGGGGGCCGUUCUCCAAAACACACCGGCACGCCUCACACUGUCCGGGUCAUGAAGACCCGGGAAAGUCGGAGAAACCGUCACAGCCAAGAUAAGCCCGCAGAGACGGGAUGCCCAAACAUCAUGUGGUUCCUGGAUGAGAUCCUGGGACGGAGAAAGGAAGGGGGGCGGGAAUGAGGCGGCGUAACCAAGCGUGGACUUCAGUUACUACUGGCUCCUUGACUGGCACGACUGGAAGGCGUUAAUAAUCUCAGCAGCCGUGUUUGGGGUGCGUGGGGACCAUCUGCACCGUCUCUGCAAAAAAUUCCGUAAAUCCAAAUCCAUUCUGAAAUUGGAAGUUGGUUCAAAAUUACGUGAGUGUCAACAGGGUGGCCGUUGGGGUUGUGGAAUCAGAAGUGCAAGCCACGACCUUCAUCAUGACCUUCGUCACCUCCAGCGUGGAGUUGGACCCGGGCCUGGCGGGGCGGCUCACUCCCCAGGCGGUUGAGACGCGCCCACCGCGUUCUGUUCCUAUGUCAGGUUAUGUUUUGUUCACUUCCGCCCCAGAUUAAGUCUCGUGCGAUGGCCGGAGAGAGUAAAACACGGGACCCAGUGCAGACAGUUUCUCUUCCAUUCCUCUGGCCACAGGGCGUGCUGUCGCCCUCCCCAGAGGCGGUCUGGACACGAGCACGUUAGCACCUCUGCCACGUGUACCUACAUGGGCACCCACGGUAACACCCUCUACACAUUACAUACGCAUCUCGAGGGUUCUUCCGCAUCGUUACGGCCGCCGCGCCCUCGCCGGGGAGAGACUGCAGGGUCCCCAUCGCACAGAUGGCCCACAAUGCAGGUGGUUCCUUAUCAACAGACGUUUAUUUCAGCCUUUUGUUACGACAAAUAAGCCUACAAUGAAUGUCCUUGCACAGA